GAGCCCCUCUCUUUCUCCUUCCCUCUGUGUCUGUGUGAGAGAUAGACUUUUAAAGAGAGACAGAAAGAGAUCGAAGUGCCUCACUUGGAUCUAUAUAUAAAUCUUGCCUUCUUUAUAUAUCUACCAAUAUCUCUAUCAUCUAUCAAAUAUGAGGAUUCGCAAGAACGCAAAACUCUCCUCCCUCGUGUUCUCGCACGCUUCGGGGCCUGAGGCGCUCCAGACACACGUGUGCCAGCUGAACCAGUCGCCAUGGGAUGUGAUUCCUUUCGCUCAAGAGACUUGCCCAUCUUCGCUUCACCAGGUUACUUCAUCUCUCUUUAUUUCUCAUUUUUUUGUUUAUAUUGUGACAGAUCUACCAAAACCCUCUUAGCUUUUCUCUCUAUUUAUCUUCCCUCUACCUGCAUUUUCUCUUGCUCCUUCUAGGGUUUUUCGAGUAUGCAGUCUUUGGGUUUCAUUAAAACCCUAAAUUUUCUCGGUUUUGUCGUGUAUUUUCCUCCAAAUGGUCGAUUAGGUUAAUGGGUCUUCGUCAUUUCUUUCCAUUUUCUUCGGGUUCGGUUCUUACUCCUUGGCUUUUUAUUUUUCCAUCAGUUCGAAGGAGAAGAUAGCUUUAACGGAAAUGGGAGCUUAAAUGAUUCUAUUGGUGCUGUUGAGAGCAGCGUCGCGUCGUUAAUGGAAGAAGCAGAAGACAAGGCGGCGAUAAAGAUGAGGGUCGAUAACAUGGUCAUCGACGAUAAUUAUGAAAUGGAAGGGAUCCCAGAGAAGAAGAGAGUGUUCGACGAUUACGAAGAGAUGAAAAUAGUUAACGAAUUCAAGUUCAAGAAAGGCGAGAAAAUCCAGUGCUGCAACAAGACCGAUGGCAAGGGUUGGCAUUGUAAGAAUGAGCCAAGAGAAGGUCACUCUAUGUGCGACCAUCACUUGCUCAAAUCCUAUGCCAGCAACAAUAAUGUUACUUGCUGUCUUGGUCUCCCUACUAGUCCGUCCAGCAAGAAACAAGAUAAGGCUAUAGCUGGGGGUCGCCGUGGCCGGGCAAAAGCAGCCAAGAAAGGUUCAUCAUCUAGCUCGAAUCCUUACGAAUUUUAUUAUUAUUCUGGAUUUGGGCCACUGUGGGGGAAGAGGAGAGGGGAAGGGAACAAAAGCGGGGUUAAAGAAACUGAGAUUGACGGCAUUAGCAUUGCCGCUGUGUCCACAUCUCAAAAUACGACGCCGUCUUCUACGCUUUCGCCAAUUGAAAAUCACGAAGAGUUCGAUUAUGUGGAUGAGGACGAUAGCGAUAAUAGCGAUAGCGGGAAGAAGCGGAUGCGAAAACCAGUGAAAGCAAGAUCCUUGAAGUCCCUCAUGUAAAAAGAGGGUUUUGGGGACGGAGGGAA
RNAcentral lists this unclassified non-coding RNA (1367 nucleotides) under Hevea brasiliensis (rubber tree). The record is from RNAcentral. Lineage: Eukaryota; Viridiplantae; Streptophyta; Magnoliopsida; Malpighiales; Euphorbiaceae.